Molecule: ribosomal RNA, 501 nt
Filed under: uncultured bacterium
Lineage: Bacteria
Description: partial 16S ribosomal RNA
Rfam family: Bacterial small subunit ribosomal RNA
Source: RNAcentral
AUUGAACGCUGGCGGCAGGCUUAACACAUGCAAGUCGAGCGGGGGAAGGUAGCUUGCUACUGGACCUAGCGGCGGACGGGUGAGUAAUGCUUAGGAAUCUGCCUAUUAGUGGGGGACAACAUCUCGAAAGGGAUGCUAAUACCGCAUACGUCCUACGGGAGAAAGCAGGGGAUCUUCGGACCUUGCGCUAAUAGAUGAGCCUAAGUGGGAUUAGCUAGUUGGUGGGGUAAAGGCCUACCAAGGCGACGAUCUGUAGCGGGUCUGAGAGGAUGAUCCGCCACACUGGGACUGAGACACGGCCCAGACUCCUACGGGAGGCAGCAGUGGGGAAUAUUGGACAAUGGGGGGAACCCUGAUCCAGCCAUGCCGCGUGUGUGAAGAAGGCCUUAUGGUUGUAAAGCACUUUAAGCGAGGAGGAGGCUACUUUAGUUAAUACCUAGAGAUAGUGGACGUUACUCGCAGAAUAAGCACCGGCUAACUCUGUGCCAGCAGCCGCCGCUG